This 433-nucleotide ribosomal RNA is filed under the name uncultured bacterium. Its description in RNAcentral is "partial 16S ribosomal RNA". It matches the Rfam family "Bacterial small subunit ribosomal RNA", at positions 29 to 507 of the family's 1533-position model. The record is from RNAcentral.
AGCGAACGCUGGCGGCAGGCCUAACACAUGCAAGUCGAACGGAUCCUUCGGGAUUAGUGGCGGACGGGUGAGUAACACGUGGGAACGUGCCCUUUGGUUCGGAACAACUCAGGGAAACUUGAGCUAAUACCGGAUGUGCCCUUCGGGGGAAAGAUUUAUCGCCAUUGGAGCGGCCCGCGUCUGAUUAGCUAGUUGGUGAGGUAACGGCCCACCAAGGCGACGAUCAGUAGCUGGUCUGAGAGGAUGAUCAGCCACACUGGGACUGAGACACGGCCCAGACCCCUACGGGAGGCAGCAGUGGGGAAUCUUGCGCAAUGGGCGAAAGCCUGACGCAGCCAUGCCGCGUGAAUGAUGAAGGUCUUAGGAUUGUAAAAUUCUUUCAGCGGGGACGAUAAUGACGGUACCCGCAGAAGAAGCUCCGGCUAACCUCGUG